Molecule: small RNA, 2133 nt
Filed under: Pan troglodytes (chimpanzee)
Lineage: Eukaryota; Metazoa; Chordata; Mammalia; Primates; Hominidae
Description: retained intron
Source: RNAcentral
AGCUGGCUGGGCGGUUAGGAGGGUCCGGGGCCGAGACGAUGGCUGACGACAACCCUGACAGCGACUCCACGCCGCGCACGCUGCUGCGACGCGUGCUGGAUACAGCGGACCCGCGCACCCCGCGGCGACCCCGGAGUGCUCGGGCUGGAGCCCGGAGAGCCCUGCUUGAAACGGCUUCCUCCAGGAGGUUGAGUGGCCAAACAAGGACGAUAGCCAGAGGGCGUUCCCAUGGAGCCAGGUCUAUUGGCAGAUCGGCCCAUAUUCAGGCCAGUGGGCACUUGGAGGAACAGACACCUCGGACGCUGCUGAAGAACAUCCUACUAACUGCCCCAGAAUCUUCCAUCCUGAUGCCUGAGUCGGUAGUGAAGCCAGUGCCAGCACGGCAGGUGGUCCAACCCUCCAGACAAGAGAGCAGUUGCGGCAGCCUGGAGCUGCAACUUCCUGAGCUCGAGCCCCCCACAACCCUGGCUCCAGGUCUGCUGGCCCCUGGCAGGAGGAAACAGAGGCUGAGACUGUCAAUGUUUCAGCAGGGAGUGGACCAGGGGUUGUCUCUCUCCCAAGAGCCUCAAGGGAAUGCUGAUGCCUCUUCCCUCACCAGAUCCCUCAACCUGACCUUUGCCACACCUCUUCAGCCACAGUCAGUGCAGAGGCCUGGCUUGGCCCGCAGACCUCCAGCCCGCCGAGCUGUAGACGUGGGUGCCUUUUUGCGGGAUCUGCGAGAUACUUCCCUGGCUCCUCCAAACAUUGUGUUGGAGGACACCCAGCCGUUCUCUCAGCCCAUGGUUGGCUCCCCCCAUGUGUAUCACUCCCUGCCCUGCACGCCUCACACUGGGGCUGAAGACGCUGAGCAGGCUGCCGGUCGCAAGACACAGAGCAGUGGGCCUGGGCUGCAGAAGAAUAGUGAGUGUGUGGCACUGGUGGCCUGGAGCCAAAUUUAGCUUGGGUGAGAGUUGACAAUGGUAGUUUUCCUUCCUCAAGCCCCUCUGUGCCCCUAGAGCACCCUGGCUGUGGCUGCCUCCUUCAUCCAAGAGCAGAGUCCAUGUUGGGCCAGGAGACUUCAGAUCCAUGUCCUGGUGCUGCCUCUGGCUUUGUCUUUCCUCAGUGGGCAGGACUGGGUCUGCUAGUCCAUCUUUACCCUUCUCUGAGCUAUGCAGCCUUGGCCUGCUGCGUCUCCAGCCUGUAUUCUCUCCCCUUCACUCAGGCCCUGGGAAACCAGCCCAGUUUCUGGCAGGAGAGGCAGAGGAGGGCGAUGCCUUUGCUCUGGGCUUCCUGAGCACCAGCAGUGGUGUCUCUGGAGAAGAUGAAGUAGAGCCCUUACACGGUGGAGUUGAAGAGGCAGAGAAAAAGAUGGAAGAAGAAGGUGUGAGUAUGAGUGAAAUGGAGGCAACAGGAGCACAAGGACCCAGCAGGGUAGAAGAGGCCGAGGGACACACAGAGGUGACAGAAGCAGAGGGAUCCCAGGGGACUGCUGAGGCUGACGGGCCAGGAGCAUCUUCAGGGGAUGAGGAUGCCUCUGGCAGGGCAGCAAGUCCAGAGUCGGCCUCCAGCACCCCUGAGUCUCUCCAGGCCAGGCGACAUCAUCAGUUUAUUGAGCCAGCCCCAGCGCCUGGUGCUGCAGUCUUAUCUUCAGAGCCUGCAGAGCCUCUGUUGGUCAGGCAUCCCCCUAGGCCCCGGACCACCGGCCCCAGGCCCCGGCAAGAUCCCCACAAGGCUGGACUGAGCCACUAUGUGAAACUCUUUAGCUUCUAUGCCAAGAUGCCCAUGGAGAGGAAGGCUCUUGAGAUGGUGGAGAAGUGCCUAGAUAAAUAUUUCCAGCAUCUUUGUGAUGAUCUGGAGGUAUUUGCUGCUCAUGCUGGCCGCAAGACUGUGAAGCCAGAGGACCUGGAGCUGCUGAUGCGGCGGCAGGGCCUGGUCACUGACCAAGUCUCACUGCACGUGCUAGUGGAGCGGCACCUGCCCCUGGAGUACCGGCAGCUGCUCAUCCCCUGCGCAUACAGUGGCAACUCUGUCUUCCCUGCCCAGUAGUGGCCAGGCUUCAACACUUUCCCUGUCCCCACCUGGGGCCUCUUGCCCCCACAUAUUUCUCCAGGUCUCCUCCCCACCCCCCCAGCAUCAAUAAAGUGUCAUAAACAG